RNAcentral lists this ribosomal RNA (1036 nucleotides) under uncultured cyanobacterium. RNAcentral's name for it is "bacterial SSU rRNA". It matches the Rfam family "Bacterial small subunit ribosomal RNA", at positions 323 to 1375 of the family's 1533-position model. Lineage: Bacteria; Bacillati; Cyanobacteriota. The record is from RNAcentral.
GACACGGCCCAGACUCUACGGGAGGCAGCAGUGAGGGAAUUUUCCGCAAUGAGCGCAAGCCUGACGGAGCAACGCCGCGUGAGGGACGAAGGCCUCUGGGCUGUAAACCUCUUUUAUCAAGGAAGAAGAUCUGACGGUACUUGAUGAAUAAGCCACGGCUAAUUCCGUGCCAGCAGCCGCGGUAAUACGGGAGUGGCAAGCGUUAUCCGGAAUUAUUGGGCGUAAAGCGUCCGCAGGCGGCCUUGCAAGUCUGCUGUCAAAGAGUGGAGCUUAACUCCAUAAAGGCAGUGGAAACUGUGAGGCUUGAGUGUGGUAGGGGCAGAGGGAAUUCCCGGUGUAGCGGUGAAAUGCGUAGAUAUCAGGAAGAACACCAGUGGCGAAGGCGCUCUGCUGGGCCAUAACUGACGCUCAUGGACGAAAGCCAGGGGAGCGAAAGGGAUUAGAUACCCCUGUAGUCCUGGCCGUAAACGAUGAACACUAGGUGUCGGGGGAAUCGACCCCCUCGGUGUCGUAGCCAACGCGUUAAGUGUUCCGCCUGGGGAGUACGCACGCAAGUGUGAAACUCAAAGGAAUUGACGGGGGCCCGCACAAGCGGUGGAGUAUGUGGUUUAAUUCGAUGCAACGCGAAGAACCUUACCAGGGUUUGACAUCCUGCGAACCCCUGAGAGAUCGGGGGGUGCCUUCGGGAGCGCAGAGACAGGUGGUGCAUGGCUGUCGUCAGCUCGUGUCGUGAGAUGUUGGGUUAAGUCCCGCAACGAGCGCAACCCACGUCUUUAGUUGCCAGCAUUAAGUUGGGCACUCUAGAGAGACCGCCGGUGAUAAACCGGAGGAAGGUGUGGAUGACGUCAAGUCAUCAUGCCCCUUACAUCCUGGGCUACACACGUACUACAAUGCUACGGACAGAGGGCAGCAAACUCGCGAGAGCUAGCAAAUCCCAUAAACCGUGGCUCAGUUCAGAUCGUAGGCUGCAACUCGCCUACGUGAAGGAGGAAUCGCUAGUAAUCGCAGGUCAGCAUACUGCGGUGAAUACGUUCCC